This 1395-nucleotide ribosomal RNA is filed under the name Lithobates maculatus (highland frog). Its description in RNAcentral is "Rana maculata (highland frog) partial 16S ribosomal RNA". It matches the Rfam family "Bacterial large subunit ribosomal RNA", at positions 267 to 2586 of the family's 2925-position model. The record is from RNAcentral. Lineage: Eukaryota; Metazoa; Chordata; Amphibia; Anura; Ranidae.
GCCUAAAAUCUAGCCCGCACAUUAUCGCAUAACACCCCCUUCCCACAGUUCCAAACAAAACAUUUUCUUAUUAUAGUACAGGUGAUCGAAAAAUUUCUAAGCGCUUCAGAUAAAGUACCGCAAGGGAAAAAUGAAAUAAGAUUGAAAUAAUUUUAAAGCCUUAAAUAGCAGAGACACCCCCUCGUACCUUUUGCAUCAUGGUCUAGUUAGUCUACUCAAGCAAAAUGAAAUUUUAGUUAGACAUCCCGAAACUAAGCGAGCUACUUCAAAACAGCCUAAAGAGCUAACCCGUCUCUGUUGCAAAAGAGUGGGAAGAUUUUCAAGUAGAAGUGAAAAGCCUACCGAGCUUAGAGAUAGCUGGUUGUUCAGGAAAAGAGUCUUAGCUCUCCCUUAAGUUUCCCAAUGACUUAAAACAAACCUUAAAACUUAAGAGCUAUUCAGAUAAGGCACAGCUUAUUUGAAACAGGAUACAACCUACAAUAAUGGGUAAAUUAUAUUAAUUAAAUUGAAGUAGGCCUAAAAGCGGCCACCUUUUAAAAAGCGUUAAAGCUUGAUUAAAAUUAUUAAUAAUACCUAAAAUUCUUAUUAACCCUUUAUUUCUACUGAACUAUUUUAUAUUCUUAUAAAAGUAAUAAUGCUAGAACUAGUAACAAGAAAAAGAUUUUUCUCCUAAAUGUAAAUAUAUACCAAAAUGGACUAUCCGCUGGUAAUCAACGCAAAUGCAGAAAUUAUAGUAACCUUCUAGAAAACUCUAUAAUCCAUAACGUUAACCUUACACUAGAACAUUCCAGGAAAGAUUAAAAAAGAAAGAAGGAACUCGGCAAAUUUUAGCCUCGCCUGUUUACCAAAAACAUCGCCUCUUGAUAAAAUAUAAGAGGUCCAGCCUGCCCAGUGACAAAGUUCAACGGCCGCGGUAUCCUAACCGUGCGAAGGUAGCAUAAUCACUUGUUCUUUAAAUAGGGACUUGUAUCAACGGCACCACGAAGGCCAUACUGUCUCCUUUCUUCAAUCAGUGAAACUGAUCUCCCCGUGAAGAAGCGGGGAUUUAAAUAUAAGACGAAAAGACCCCAUGGAGCUUAAAACUCAUCAUACACCUCUAUGCCCUUACAUCAACUCACCUAAGAAAUUUGUGUGAUAGUUUUCGGUUGGGGGGACCUCGGAGUAUAAUAUAACCUCCAUAACAAAUGGGCUAACACCCUUAUCCACGAAAAACACCUCUAAGAAUUAUUAAAUUAAUGUUUAAUGACCCAAUAUUUGAUCAAUGAACCAAGUUACCCUGGGGAUAACAGCGCAAUCUACUUCAAGAGUCCCUAUCGACAAGUGGGUUUACGACCUCGAUGUUGGAUCAGGGUAUCCUAAUGGUGCAACCGCUACUAAUGGUUCGUUUGUUCAACG